This 424-nucleotide ribosomal RNA is filed under the name Fusobacteriota bacterium. RNAcentral's name for it is "Fusobacteria bacterium partial 16S ribosomal RNA". It matches the Rfam family "Bacterial small subunit ribosomal RNA", at positions 355 to 776 of the family's 1533-position model. Lineage: Bacteria; Fusobacteriati; Fusobacteriota. The record is from RNAcentral.
UGAGGAAUAUUGGUCAAUGGGCGAGAGCCUGAACCAGCCAAGUAGCGUGCAGGAUGACGGCCCUAUGGGUUGUAAACUGCUUUUAUGUGGGGAUAAAGUGCGUGACGUGUCAUGCAUUGCAGGUACCACAUGAAUAAGGACCGGCUAAUUCCGUGCCAGCAGCCGCGGUAAUACGGAAGGUCCGGGCGUUAUCCGGAUUUAUUGGGUUUAAAGGGAGCGUAGGCUGUCUAUUAAGCGUGUUGUGAAAUUUACCGGCUCAACCGGUGGCUUGCAGCGCGAACUGGUCGACUUGAGUUUGCAGGAAGUAGGCGGAAUUCAUGGUGUAGCGGUGAAAUGCUUAGAUAUCAUGACGAACUCCGAUUGCGCAGGCAGCUUACUGUAGCAUAACUGACGCUGAUGCUCGAAAGUGCGGGUAUCAAACAGG